CACAACCCAAUAAUAUCUUAAUAUUUCCUGAAGAAGAGCGAGGAUAUGGCCCCCAGUACAUUAUCCUUUGCUAUAGACUAGAUCAUAUCUCUGAUCUCCUCCAUAGUCACCUCCCUCACCAAGGUAGCAUUCUCCACACCAGAGACUAGCGCAUUAGGGGAAGGGUAGGUGUAGGAGUCAAUAUCAUCCAACUGGGCAGACCACCUAGACCUAAAGAACUAUAGAAUCUCCUAUCUGAUGACCUCCUCAUCCCC
This 254-nucleotide long non-coding RNA is filed under the name Elaeis guineensis (African oil palm). RNAcentral's name for it is "long non-coding RNA (EGUI_LNC044578)". The record is from RNAcentral. Lineage: Eukaryota; Viridiplantae; Streptophyta; Magnoliopsida; Arecales; Arecaceae.